Molecule: ribosomal RNA, 342 nt
Filed under: uncultured Coriobacteriales bacterium
Lineage: Bacteria; Bacillati; Actinomycetota; Coriobacteriia; Coriobacteriales
Description: bacterial SSU rRNA
Rfam family: Bacterial small subunit ribosomal RNA
Source: RNAcentral
GAUGAACGCUAGCGACAGGCCUAACACAUGCAAGUCGAGCGGGGACAUGCGACGGAUGAGUAAGUUUUCGGAUGGAUCUGAAGAUGUAUGUUCUAGCGGCGGACGGGUGAGUAACGCGUGAGCAACCUGUCCUUCACGAGGGGGAUAACACAGCGAAAGUUGUACUAAUACCGCAUAAGACCACAACGGGACAUCCCGAAGGGGUCAAAGGAGCAAUCCGGUGAAGGGUGGGCUCGCGUCCGAUUAGAUAGUUGGUGAGGUAACGGCCCACCAAGUCGACGAUCGGUAGCCGACCUGAGAGGGUGAUCGGCCACAUUGGGACUGAGACACGGCCCAAACUCC